Unclassified non-coding RNA from Phascolarctos cinereus (koala), 295 nucleotides. It matches the Rfam family "Metazoan signal recognition particle RNA". Rfam says of the family: The signal recognition particle (SRP) is a universally conserved ribonucleoprotein. It is involved in the co-translational targeting of proteins to membranes. The record is from Ensembl. Lineage: Eukaryota; Metazoa; Chordata; Mammalia; Diprotodontia; Phascolarctidae.
ACCUCAUAUGGUAGCAUAUUCCUAUAUUUACUGAGGAGGCUAAGACUGACUAAUAUCUUGAGCUUAGGAAUUCUGAGCUGUAGUGGUCUGUGCUGAUUGGGUAUCCUCACUAAGUUUAGCAUUACUUUAUUGGGCCCCUGGGAGCAAGGGGGCCACCAGGUUGCCAAAGGAGGGGUGGAUUGGUCUGGGUUAGAAACAGAGAAGGUCAAAGCUCCAGUACCAAUCAGUAGUAGUAUCAGGAUCAUAAGUAGUGUCUGAAUUUCUAGCCUGAACAACACAGGGAGACCCAUUAUUA